GCUUUCUUUAGCCGGCCAGCCGCGCCACGUCACCGCUCCCUGGCAGCGUAUGAACGGGAACUCAUCGGCCUGGUGCUCGCGAUUCGCCAUUGGAGGCCGUACCUAUGGGGGCGUCAGUUUGUGGUAAAAACGGAUCAUUACAGCCUCAAAUUUCUGCUUGACCAGCGUUUGGCCACCAUCCCGCAGCAUCAUUGGGUUGGCAAACUCCUGGGAUUCGACUUUACGGUGGAGUACAAGGCAGGUAGUACCAACACGGUGGCGGAUGCACUUUCCCGCCGUGACACGGAGGAGACGACGAUCAUGGCGGUCUCAGGGCCUCGUUUCGACUUCAUCAAUCGCCUCCGGCAAGCGACGUCCACUGAUCUGGCGCUCGUCGCACUGCGGGAGGAUAUCACGGCAGGUGCGCGGCAACAGCCUUGGGCGCUCUCCGACGGCCUCGUUACUUUCAACGGCCGCCUCUACAUUCCGCCGUCAUCCCCGCUACUCCAGGAGAUUCUCAGUGCCGUGCACGAUGAUGGGCAUGAAGGCGUCCUGCGCACAUUGCAUCGUCUUCGCCGCGAUUUCCACGCACCUAAUCUUCGCAAGACGGUGCAGGAGUACAUCCGCACUUGCGGUACUUGCCAGCGGUACAAGUCCGAGCACUUGCACCCCGCUGGGCUGCUCCUGCCGCUGCCGGUACCCACGGGCGUGUGGACUGACAUCGGCAUCGACUUCGUGGAAGCGCUUCCUCGAGUAGGCGGGAAGUCUGUCAUCCUCACCGUGGUGGAUCGCUUCAGCAAGUAUUGCCAUUUUGUGGCGUUAGCCCACCCAUACACGGCAGAGUCAGUGGCACAGGUGUUCUUCGCUGAGGUUGUUCGUCUCCACGGCGUGCCACAGUCCAUGGUCUCUGACCGCGACCCCGUCUUCACCUCCGCUUUUUGGCAAGAGCUCAUGCGCCUCACGGGGACAAAGCUGCACAUGACGUCCGCAUUUCACCCGCAGUCGGAUGGUCAAACGGAGGCUGCUAACAAGAUCAUUGUGAUGUAUUUACGGUGUCUUACCGGGGAUCGUCCCAAGCAGUGGCUCCGGUGGCUUCCCUGGGCUGAGUACAUAUACAACACCGCCUACCAGACAGCAACCCAAGAGACUCCGUUCAAGCUUGUGUAUGGCCGUGACCCUCCCACUAUUCGCUCUUACGAGCCCGGCGACACACGGGUGGCUGCAGUGGCCAGGAGCAUGGCUGAGCGCGACGAACUUAUCGAGGACGUCCGCUAUCGUCUACAACAGGCCCAGGCGGUCUAUAAGUCCUACUACGACAGACGUCAUCGGGACAUUCGGCAUGAGGUGGGCGAUUGGGUUUGGCUUCGCCUUCGACAGCGCGCCGCGUCCUCUCUCCACUUGCCAACCAGGGGCAAGCUCAAGCCACGAUUCUAU
This 1413-nucleotide ribosomal RNA is filed under the name Triticum aestivum (bread wheat). Its description in RNAcentral is "partial small subunit ribosomal RNA". The record is from RNAcentral. Lineage: Eukaryota; Viridiplantae; Streptophyta; Magnoliopsida; Poales; Poaceae.